RNAcentral lists this ribosomal RNA (187 nucleotides) under Candidatus Enterococcus stercoravium. RNAcentral describes it as "partial 23S ribosomal RNA". It matches the Rfam family "Bacterial large subunit ribosomal RNA", at positions 2740 to 2925 of the family's 2925-position model. Lineage: Bacteria; Bacillati; Bacillota; Bacilli; Lactobacillales; Enterococcaceae. The record is from RNAcentral.
GCUGGGUAGCUAUGUAGGGAAGGGAUAAACGCUGAAAGCAUCUAAGUGUGAAGCCCACCUCAAGAUGAGAUUUCCCAUUUCUUUAAGAAAGUAAGAUCCCUGAGAGAUGAUCAGGUAGAUAGGUCAGGAGUGGAAGGCCAGUGAUGGUUGGAGCGGACUGAUACUAAUCGAUCGAGGACUUAACCAA